Molecule: ribosomal RNA, 253 nt
Filed under: uncultured bacterium
Lineage: Bacteria
Description: partial 16S ribosomal RNA
Rfam family: Bacterial small subunit ribosomal RNA
Source: RNAcentral
UACGUAGGGGGCAAGCGUUGUCCGGAUUUAUUGGGCGUAAAGCGUGUGUAGGCGGAUUGCUAAGUACCUUGUGAAAUCCCACGGCUUAACCGUGGAACUGCUUGGUAUACUGGCUGUCUUGAGCCACUUAGGGGCGACCGGAACAAACGGUGGAGCGGUGAAAUGCGUAGAUAUCGUUUGGAACGCCAAAGGUGAAAACAGGUCGCUGGGAGUGUGCUGACGCUGAGACACGAAAGCCAGGGGAGCAAACGGG